GAUGCAAUGUCAGCUAUCUAGGACAGAAACAUCCAAGGCCGUGCUAGAACUCAAUUACAACUACAUAUGCAUUACAGCAGGAACUGGCAGGCCUCUGGGCUACAGCAACUAUAGGGCUUGUGCUUCCCGACUGCCAGGCUAUAAUCUAUGAAACUGAGCCCAGAUCCAGCCAAUCAGUUCACUCCUCAUAACAAGUCUAACUGGCUCUGGAAAGCUGAAAGGGCUGCACUGGAGCAACGUAGAUGAGAUAUUCCACACAAUGAUCUGCUUAUCUAGAAUCACUUUGCCUGGAAAGACCAGAGAAAAAUCACUUUGUCUAAGGAAAGGACAGGUGAUCUGGCAAAACCACCACGGGACCUGGAGCAAGAUCCUCUGGCUUGGCAGUUCAGCGCUGCCGGCAUUAAAGGACCUGAGGCUCCCCAGAAACCAGAGGGCAACCACCACAGCAGCAAAACACCAAGGUAACUUUCAUCUCCCUUUUUAUUUUUAGUAGGAGUAAUGCUCAGUGAAAGGGAUCCACAUUAAGGAGCUUAGGCAACUCACUAGGCUUUGUUUUUAUUUCACUUUUCUCUAUCCUAAGCUUUUGUAGAAUGAAUUCUUAUUAAGUACGAGUAGAGAGAGGCUUAAUGUUCCUGAAAUAAACUUGAAACUAAAAUGAUCAGUUGUAGAGGCCAAUAGAGAACUGUCCAGAAGUGUUUUAGAGCUACCUUUCCAGAUGGGCCGCCUUUUCAUUCAUUCACAGAAACAAGGGUAAAUGGGGCUGGCAGGGAGGAGGGAGAAAGGGGUUCAGGAGCAUAAUUGCCUGCUUUCCCUAUCUGGGAGGAAAUAACUACACCUAGAGAGAAUACUGGGAAAUUACUGCCUUCCUCCUCUGAUUCUUGGCACUGAGCGCAGAAGAAUGUUCCACAGUGGGAAGGUUGGGGUAGAAUACCUUCAGAAUCACAAGAGAGAGUGACAGUGCCCCCAUGGUCCAGGUUGUACUUACUAGCUCUUGUUUUACUUUUUCCUUUUUUUGUUGUUUUUUGUUUUAUUUUACGUAUUUUCUUUACAAUACCUUGCUUAUUUUCCAUACAUUUUUUUCAAUAUUUUUUAGUUGCAGAUGGACAAAAUACCUUUAUUUUAUUUAUUUAUUUAUGUGGUGCUGAGGAUGGAACCCAGUGCUCUGCACAUGCCAGGCAAGCACUUUACCACUAAGCCACACCCCAGCCCUUAUUUCCCAUUACAUUUUAACUGUUAGUUAUGCCAGUUAUUUGUUAUAACAUACUUCUAAAUUAGUAGUUAUUAAAGAAGCAGUGGGAAACAUUUUUAAAUCAAAAUUACUAUAGAAGUGACUGAUAUAGGAAAGCAUAAACAAUAACCCCAGAACAGGAUUGACAUACACAUAACCCCAACCCCACACAACUUGGAUACUUAACAUUCUUUACCUGCUGACAGUUCCUUCCAAGUCCUUAGCAAAUUGUUUUUUUUUUAACAAAUUUUGUAGCAAGUAUAAUACUAGCAACAACAACAAAAAAAAUUUUUUUUGCAGUAAACUUUUAAAUAACUAAAUCAGUCAUUAUGCUUUCAAAGUGACAACAGAAGUUACACAAUAUUCAAUUUGUGUUGUUGGAUUUAUAAGUUCCGAAAGGUAAAAGCUAAAAAGAAAAACUUGCUUUGUUUAGUGGUAAAAUAUAAACAGCAGUAACGGAAGAGACAUUUAUGCACUUUUUGUUUGCUGUAGAUAAUUGACUAAAUUCAACUGGAGAUUUGACUCCAGGAAGAAAAAACAACAAUAUAUAGAGAAUAGAAAAAUUAUAAUCCAUUGAAAGUUUCCUCCCAGGUUUUACUCUUUUAAUUGUCCAAUUUAGCCAGGGAAGACUAUUUCUGCUCUGUUUAAAUAGUUUUUUAUUUAAUUUAACCUGUAUUUAUUUGACAGUGCUGCUGACUAUGGUGACCACAUGAAAACAGAAACUUCUGAGAAAGUCAGGCUAUUAGCACUGUUGUCCCUUUUACUCAAAGAUAAUAUAUAUUAUUUAGUCUAAAAUGAAAAACAAGUCCUUAAGAUAAUACUGGCAUUGAAUUCUCGAUAUCAAACUCCCUGCUUUUCACUCCCUUAAUAAAAUUCCAUUAAAAUCCCCUGCACUCUCAUAUUCAAAUCUCUAUUUUCAACCAACUAAGCCAAGAAUAUUCUAAACUGAGUUAUGUAAGUCAUUACCCAAAAAUUUCCCAUAGAAAAAACUCACCACCUACAAAUUUAAAGAAAAUUAUCUUGCUGCCUAAGACAAUGGCCAACAAUCAUAGGGCAAGUUUGGAAUUGAGUUUUCACAACUUUUGAACAUUCUCUGUGUCGACAUGUAACUGAGUUUUCAACUGACCCCUGGCUUGAUCUUUGGCCCUUAAAAACACCAAAAGUUUUGUUUAACUCAACAUUAAACUGUUCAUUUGUUACUAAUGUUCACCCCAAACCACAUUCAUAAGAAUUUUCUAAAAGAACAGCACUGCCUUCCCUCUUAGAAUCAUAAUGAUCACAAAAACCUGAGACAUGUGCCUGUAACUGGGCAUUUUCCUGGAGAUUUAUUUUCUAUACCCUAUUGAAACACAAUUCUAUGACCAAAGCAAGAACUAAUGUUUGUGUGUAUCUGUAUCUAUAUCUAUCUAUAUAUACGUAUAGAUAGAUGGAUAGAUAGAUAGAUAGAUAUGAUAGAGAUAUUUAUAUAGAUAGAUAUAGAUAUGAUCUUAGAUACUAUAAUCUUCUUUUGCCUAAAAUUGCUAAUGCAACAUGUCAGAGUCUGCUAUAGCAGGCAUCCUUUUCAAUUCAUUAGGACUUAUAUUAGCAGGUUCUGGCUAGAGAAACUCUUUCCUGUCAUCACCAUCAGUUAAUAUUUGUUAGCUAUUGCAUCAGAUACUGGCUAAGAAGCUCAUGGAUCCAAGAGUCACCCAAACAGCUGAGUUCAGUUCUUGGUCCUAUUUCCUUGAUCUUAACCCCAGAGACAAUGAUUAAGAUGAUCCCCAACAGAAAAGUAACUCAGGAAUGCAAACCCUUUUCUGAAGGAAGAACUGUCAGCAAAUCUCAAGUAUCAGAGCAGCUAUGGUUGACUGAGAAGUUUCUCCAUACUUGGGCCAAGAAUGAUUUCUGGGCCCAUAAGCUAAUUUGCCUAGCCCUUAGUUUAUGGAGCCAAAGUCACUCAUGAGAAAAUUAUAGGAAACAUUCAGACCCACCAUGUCAGCACAUCAAGCCAAUUAAGACUAGCAGGGCAUUAACUCCAUCCCAGGUGACAUGGAUAAAUAGCCCCAAUAUUUUCACUAUGCUAAGACCUGCUAAAGAAACCCCAGUCUGUGGGAUGUUCCCUGGUAGGGAGCAGCUGACAGUUCUAACUCUAACACUGGGAGCCAGCAUCUUAGGAUGUUAACUGAAAGAAAAAUACUUGCUUGGAAAAUGUCAAUGAGAAGACUUGCCUCAUCUUAACAAAAAUAUUUUAAUUUAAAUUAAAAAGCAUGGGUAGUAGAGAUGUGAGUCUGAGGUCACUUUAGGUACUAAGCUUAUAUUCUUGGUUCAGAAAACAAAUCACUUUAUCUGGGCACACAGACCUGAAAAUGACUUUGCCUUUUGCACAUAGGGGGAAUUCUUAGUGGUUGGUUUGUUUAUUCAUUCAUUCAUUUGUUUGUUUGUUUUGUGGUACUGGGGAUCAAACCUAGGGGCCUACGCAUGCUAGGCAAGCACUCUACCACUAAGCCAUAACACAGACCUGUGUAGUAUUAAUUCAGUCUCUCCUAAGAAUAUGAACAUACAGAACCAUACUAAUAAUGCAUGUGACAAGACUCCAAAAUAUAUUACACUUAAGUGUAACACAAACUAUCAAUUUUUAAAUUCACAUAGUCAAAACUCUUCUUGUAAGUAAUGAGACCUUAACACAGGAUCAGUUUUCUGUGGUCUUGUUCUGUGUCUAAGUUUCUCUAAAGUAUUAUGACAUGGUAUACACAAAAAUUGGUAAUUAUGUAAUUAGUAAGAGAAAACUUUGGGAGGUACAUUACUAAUGUCAUGCUAAAAUUAUAUCUUCGCUUCUAAAAGCAAAGAUAUAAAGCAGUAGAACAUAGAGGUUGAGGGCAUAAAAUUUGAAACCAGACUGCCUGGGUUCAAAUCCCAGCUCUGACCUUUCCUGCAGGAUCUUGGGCAAACUACUUAAUAGCACUUUGCCUCAGUCUCCUCAAAUGUAAAAUGGUGCCAUGCUAUCUCCUAGGACUGGCGUGAAGAUUAUGAGCAAAUGCAUGCCUACAACUGAGCCCAUUACAUGGUGAGUGUUCAAUAAAAUUAUCAUUUUGUUUAUUAAUUUUAUUACAAUAAAUGUACACAAUAUUCAAAACAAAGGUAAAUUAUUUAAACAGGUAGAUGUGGUGAAACAUAUCUAUUCUCAUCACAUGUUUCUUGAGGCCUCCAAGAGAAUAACACAAUAAGGUGGAUAGGUCACUGUUUGUUAAUUGUCAGUUUUCUGCCUGGUUAUAACUUGACACUUUUCACCCUGCCCUUCAUUUAGUACUCCACACAAGGACACAUACCUAGGACGUGACAUAGAGGGGUAAUUGCAGUAGAUAUGAUACAUAUGAUAGUUGGCACAAAGUUCAGGCUAGUUAAAGAUUCCUGCAUGAAAGGAAAAAAAGUAAUGGAAGUCAUUAAUCUUCAUCCCUGGUAUGCUAACCGAAAGAGAUUCCAAUGGAGAGGGAAAAAGAGAGAGAGAGAGAGAAAGAGAGAGAGGGAGAGUUACCUAUCAUGAACAGCUGUGCUGAUUAUCCACAAUAUAUGAACCGUGUCUGGAAUUCAUGCUGAAUUCCCAGCUUAAAAAUGGAAGAACAUUGAAGCUAAUUAUCUCGUCUCCUCCCAGCAGUGAGGGACUUUUCAGAGAGGGAGAAUAUUAACUGAGAGUUAGACAGACUCACUGAGAAGGGAAAAGGAAAAUACAUAAUGUGCUUGGUUAAGGAAUGUGUACACUGGGGAAGGAGAAUAGACUUCUACACUCGUUCAUUCACUCACUCAUGAGGAAGCCCCACCCUCAUCCUCAGCUUUGACACAAAUACCCACCCUUAAGCACACCCUUCCCUGGCACCCACUAUCUAGACCAAGAACAAUGAUGUCCAUCACUGUGAGCCCUUCCUGUCACUCCUCUUCAUAGAAGGUGGUUACUCGCUACUGAGUAAAUUAAUGAAUCUGUACCACUUGCCACAUAAACUAGCACUAAAAGACAAACAUUGAACAAAUUGGGGGACAUUUCAGUUUAGCCAAAAAAAAAAAAAGGCCUAAAAAUGAAAUGUAGGGCAAGAUCAGAAUUACAAUGAAAUCAAAUGUUAAGACUUAAUAGACCUGAGACAAACUUUGCUAUAGGCAGGAAUCAUCUCUGAUCUUUCUCAGCAAGUUGAUAAAGAAAUGCAGUAAAGGGGCUGGGGAUGUGGCUCAAGCAGUAACGCGCUUGCUCGCCUGGCAUGCGCGGGGUGCUGGGUUCGAUCCUCAGCACCACAUAAAAUAAAAUAAAGAUGUUGUAUCCACCGAAAAAUGAAAAAUUAAAUAUAUAAAAAAAAAGAAAUGCAGUAAAGCCCACUGUGGUUGCCAGAAAUAAUCACAUAUUUGAAAGCUUUGUGUGGGGCCUGGCUAAGAGUUGAAUGAGCUAAGCUAAGUCGUUUUGAUUCUAGUUAUCCUGUUCCUAGAAGAAGAAGGAUUGGGGGUUAAGGGGUAUCUAGGACUCAGCAGUGGGUCUUUAUCUCUGCCUUCUCCCUCAAUUGGUUCAGCGACAGAAUCGGACAUGGAAUCCCCCUCCCAGAACCCAUUCGUACCAUUGAGGUGUCACCACCUGAAACAUUGCUUGUGUCUAGGAGGUGGCCAAGGGGACCAUUACGCAGCACCAGGCAUUCACUGAAGAAGAGGAGCAUGGGAGGUGCUGGAGAAUUUUAAGAAAUAAAAUAACUGCUCUGGUUCAGAUGUUGGUCCUAGGAUGGCAGUAUUGGGAGGUGCUUAGGUCACUGGAGACAUGUCCCUGAAGGGAACUGUGGGACCCUGGUCCCAUUCUGUGCUUCCUGAUUCAUGUUCAGUUUACUCCAUCAUGUACUCCCACCAUGAUGUGCAAUCGCUGCCGAAAGCCCAAACCACUGGGGCUACCCAAUCUUGGAGUAGAACUCUGAACUGGAAUAAACCACUCUUUACUUCCUAAGUAGCCUGUGUCAAGUAUUUUGUUACAGUGACAGUAAGCCAACUAACAUAGUAACCCUUAGAAUUGAGACAGAUCUAGUUAUCUUUAGCCCUUCUCUUACUUUUGCCCCCUCCCCUGCCCCAAACUCAGUCUCCCUGUGUUCACCAGCUUCCUCCUCCAAAGUGACCCACAGAGGGACCUACCCUCUCUUCUCACCAGAUGAAUCUUUCUAAGCCAUUCCCAGAGCAAUAGAUAAAACUAGCCUGUGAAAAUAUGAUUAAAUGUUUCUGCUACCUUCCAACUGGUAUUUCAUUUUAUAGGGCUUUCCAGAAAUAAAGCUGAGAAGCAAAUAAAAAAAAAAAAACACUAGUGAAUAUUUCAGGCCCCAUGGAGCAUGACAAUGAAGACAUGCAGAAGGCAGGCGGGGCUUUCUGGGCCUGGGAAUCACACCACCACAUCAGCCACCUCUCUCAGGCAUAAGCCAGCUCCUGUAUGCAUAGUCCUGGGUCAAGGAGAAUGAUAUGGUUUCACUUCUCCAUGCAGGGCUACACACAUUAUACAAGCUGUAUAGCCUCUAUGGUCCCUCUCUAUGUCCAGAAUGCAGGCUACCACCAAGCAAGGAAAGAUUUCCCACAACAAAAGUGAAUACCAUAGAAUUCCCCCAAAGUAAUUUGGCUCUGGAAGCACAUUUACUGUGAUAAGCAACUAAAGAGAUAUGGGUAGUUCUGUGUCUCAGAGUCCACAGGACUUUAUUUUAUUUAUUUAUUUACUGUGAUAAUUUAAGAACAGAAAUAAGAGGAGUGGAGCACUAUAAACUCACAGUGGCCCUUGAACUUGUUAAAAUGGUAGAUACCUGACUCCCAUUACAGAAUGCUAAUGCUAUUGUUCUAAAAUAGAGACAAGGAAACUGCAUUUUCAUUGCCCAUUCUUGUAAAGCCAGUCAUUGGUGCCCAGUCCUAUAGAAACAUUGAGACAGGGAAUUUAAACCACUUAACACAAAGCCUAGAGCACGGCAAGUUCUCAACAGCAAGACUCAGAAUCAGUUCCCAACUUCAUACACUCAACUUAGACUUGACCUAUUGCUAAGUGAAAAUUACACAUAGGUGUGGCAGAAUAGUAGCAAGCCCGGAAUUAUUUGAGUGCAGUAAAGAGACAUGAGAGUGGGGGUACAGGACAGAGAGGCUAAUUUGUGUUCUAAUGAUCCUUUAACCAUUAAUGUAAACUCUUCAACCCCAAUUAUCUUCUAUUCCACAGUGUCAAGAGUUCUGAAAAGAUUACACAACAAUAUGAAAAAUAAUUAUCCAUGGACCAGAAAUUUCCAAAGUGAAAACAUUCAAAUAUUGCCUUUAUUUUUAAGACUCAGAUUCAGAAAGCAAAAUAAAGUUAUUUGUUUGUUUUAUAGUGCAAAGUAGGCCCCGAGUGAAUACAGUUGAAAAGUGGCUGACUCCGCCAACUUUAGCACAGUAUCAGAGAACUGAAUCCCAAACCCAGUUGGCUAUUGUUCUCCCAUGAGACCUGGCCAUUUCACUUUACUGAUGAUGAGGGUCCUCUGCAGGUGGCUGAUGCUGAGCAUGUCUACUUGCCACUUGGAAUCGCACCUCUCAAUAAAUGGGGUGGACUUCAGGAAGUCUUCUGUUUGGCUUGCAUGCUCCUGAGCAUAGGACAAAGCUCUGUUGUUUAAGAGCAUAAACAACAAAAGCAUUGUUCUUGCAAACCAAGAGGAAAACUGUAGAUCUAUCCAAAAUCACUUGGUCUUAAAACUGCCUAAGGAUGACAGGAAUGAGGUAUUAUUUUAGGCCACCCAUCAGUGCCAGUCAUUCAAUCUCCUCUCUUGGCUUCAGAAAACAAUGACUCAAUAUGGCCAUUUUCUGACAGACUUCAGCCUUAGGAAAAUACUGUUCCACAUAUUUGGAACUAGGGUUCUUCCUGCAUUAAAAUAAAUGGAAGCUAUUCAAAGCCCAUCUCUCUUUGAAUCUUGGGCAUAUGAAUACAGCUGUUUGUACUCAAAUAAUGAAAGAAAGAAGAAAACUCUGAAUGAAAAAAAAAAAUCAAAGACUGUUUUUACUCCAUCCCGGUGCUUGACAUGGGUUUUACUGCAAUUCUCACAAUGACCUGUAAGAUGCUGGUAUUGUUAUCCCCAUUUUUACCAAGAAUAAGAAAGUUUAAAUAAAUUUUCCUAAGGAAGAAAAAUAGAUAAGCCGCACAGCUUGAAGUCAAAUCAGAAACAGUAAAAGUAUACAAUCUUUCCUGUUAAGAUUUAAAUGAAUAACUUCUCAUGCAUCUACUAUUAUAACUUUAUAUAAAUGUGACAGUUCUAACAACCUGUUUUGUACCACUCAACUUUCCACGUCAAUAUCUGAAGCACUGCACUAUUUUUUUAUUGAAUACAUGAUAUUUCAGAUUUUGUGGCAGAUAUUUGCCAUAAUUCACCAUGCCUGUGCCCUAUUGAUAAAUAUUGAUGUUAUUUCUAGUUUUCCCCUUAUAUACACAUUUGCAAACAUACUACAUAAAUGUGUUUUCAUUUUUGUGUAGUUUCCUCCUUAGGAUAAAUCCCAGACUGCAAACUGUUGAGCAAAGAGCUGUCCAUUUUACAUUUCAAUACUUCUGAGCCACCUGCCCUCCUGAAAGGUUGUAGCAGGCAGCUGCAAGAAUACACCCAGUUCCUCCAACCCACCAGCACACCAGGUUGCACCAACCAUUUACAUUUCUGCCAAAAUCACAGGGGGAAGUAGAAGCAUUCCUAUUCUUAUCUGAUUAGGCCUCUUUUUUUAUGUAUAGGUCACUUGAAUUCUUCCAGAAAUUAAUUAUCCCCAUUCUCUAUCUUUCUAUUGGAAUCUAACUUUUAAAUUUUUCAUGAGGGCUUUCUCCCACCCCUUGCUGUUUUCUUGUUGUCUGGGCCCUCCAGAGCCUAUGUGCUAGUACAUUGGAGACUUUGAUUUAGAGCCAAGAAAACUUCGGCAACAUAUUACCAGGGUGAUUAGUCAAGUGCCAUAAAAUAUGUUCGAAGAAGAAAAACUGGUUAAGUCUAAAGAACAGAAAACCAUAAACUUCUCCUUGGUUGUCUGCUUCAGAAAUAGGUCAGCCCCUGACUUUAUCAGCUGUUGUUUAUCUUACCAGAAACAAUGAUCCAUUCAGACUUAAUCUUGUUCUUCUGCACAGAGAAAUUUGGAUAAUAGAAGAGGGGCCAAGAACAGUUUGGAGGAACAUUCCAAGAAAAGGGGGACUGAGCACUGAUGUGGGCAAGCGCGCGUGCGCACACACACACACACACACACACACUUCUAUGCCCCAGGAAGAGGCAGACCACAAAGAAUCACAGAUUGUUCGUGCUGAGGCCUGGCUUAGAGAUGCCCUCACACAGAGGAAAAUGAGUAACUUGUCUAAAAUCAUCAGGAAAAGAGUAAUUCCUGACUCCUGCAUCCGAGCUCUUGCCACUAGAGGACACUGGCCAGAGGUAAAGCAGAGCCCAAGUUGAGUCCCUAGAGCUUAGGACAUUGAUUUUGCCUCCCAGAGUCCCAAAGUUAUAUUAAAGAGCAUUAUGGCAAGAAUACCCUCACCCUGACCCAGGAAUUUACACAAAGAGGGCUGAGCCACACAACCGGCCAGCAUCUUCCUACUACUGCCUGAUCUGAUUGCUAUAGGCAAAGGGCUUCAGGGACAAUGUUAUUCUGCCCUCUUGUUCCAGUACUCAAGAAAGAACAUGACCAAAUGCAAUCAGCAAAGCAGGGCUGGUGUCCAGCUUUUCUCCUUACAAACAGCACUUGCAUAAUUAGCUUAAUUUAUUCCACCCUGUCUGCUCAGAUUCAGCCAAAUUCAGGCUCUGAGCUGAAGAAAACUGAGCCUGACCAUAUAAUAGUCCUAGCCUCACAGAUGGGCUCCUGUCUUAUCCAGGAGAGAUCCAGAUAUGUCCAAAUCCCUGAAAGGAGAACCUGAAGAAGAAACGCAGCCUCACAUGCAUUCCACUGAGAUGACCAAAGACAAGCAGCCAGUCGGCCAUCCAACUCAGUAAUAUGCUAGUCCCAUCAUGAAACUUUGCCAAACCCAAACAAAGGCCACACUUCACCCAACACAGAUGCUUAAAAGUGAUGCUGGAAAGCCAGCCUCUCCAUCACUUCUCAACUUGUAAGCAUUUUUCUAAUAUCUACAUGGGCCAAGAGAAUAAAUAGUUCACAGUGAGAUUUGAAGAACAACAGGGAAAACUAUUUAGAAUGGUCUAGAAUUCAACAGGGGGAUUGAUUUGUGCCAGGAGUUACACAUAAUUAUACCAUUUAAUCCUCACUACUUCCUAUGUAGGCCUUUUUACCCAAACAUGUACAUAAGCAAGCUGAGGAAAUUAUAGAGAAUAGCACAUUUCUGGGCUCAGCUGACUUCUCUACAGAAUUUUGUGGACUUUCACUGUGACAUUACCAGUUCUUCCAAAAGACCAAAGGAAAAGUCUGUCUUGAAUGUUAACCUAUUAUAAAGGUCAGUUCCUGUCUUCUUAACAGACUGAUUCCCCUCCGAUUCCUCCUUGGGUGGGAGAUUGGAGGCUGGGUGGUUAUCUAUCUUAUGCUGCUGUCACUCUUUGGGAAGAGGAUGCUUCCCAUAAGAGAAAAUUCUUUCCAAAACUUGGUGCUUAUUUUAGGAGAGCUGUGUGGAUUCCCAGCCAUCGUCACACAGGAAAUCUUAUACCUCUAAAUCAAAGAUAAACUCUUCAAGUAAAUUUCAGAAACCCUAUUGUUCAUUGUAGACUCUAAAAAUAAACAGCAAAGACUGAGACAGAGGAAGUUGAACCGCUGGUCCGGAGCAUUUGGGAACACAUGAAUUUUCAGCAGAUAAGCUAAACCCUAUAGUAUAUUUCUCUCAUCUUUGGAGUUUUUCCAACAGCUUUCAUAGUUCCAAGGGUUUUUCUGCUGAUUCCAAAAGUUACAUUACAUCUGAUUCGUUUUUGUUACUCAAAACAUUCACUUUUGAUGAGUAAAUUUGCUACUUCAAAAAAAUUUCUCCAAACAAUGGUCUAAAAGAAACUGAUCCAAAGGAGUUUUCUACUUGGAAAUAUUUAUAAUAUACCUAUACAAUACUACAUUAGGGAAAAUAUCUAAUCCCACAGUUAAUCCAAAACAAAAUAUGACUUGUAAGUACUAAGUACUUAUAAGCAACUCAAUAAAUAAAUGAUAGUGAUAAUAGUAACAUGCAUUUAGAGAAAUUUGUUAUUUCAAAACAUUUUCUCACAUGUCAUUUUAAAUGACCCUCAAAAUGCCCAUGGCAGGGGCACUGCGAACUUGCUUAUAUAUAACGACUUAUAUCCUGGCUUUGUCACUUGUUAGCUCUGUGACCUCGGACAGUUUACUUAAGUAAUCUGAGCCUCAGCUCUUUCAGUUGUGAAACAUGAAUGAUAAUCCUUCCUUGCAGAAUGGAUGAGAGACUUACAGACAACAUAUGCCAAAGGCACAGCAAGUACCAAACAUAUGGCAGAUAUUUAGAAAUGGAAAUGAUCACUAUUAUUAUAAGGCAGGACUGAUAUCAUUAUCCCUUCUUAAAGUUGAGGCAGCUGAGCUGAAAGAGCUCAACUGAUUCUCCCAGUCACUACAGCCACCAGAAUACCAGAGUUAGGACUGGAACGUGGGUCUCCAAUCUGCCAAAGAAAAGAAUUCUCUGCAUUCUUCAAAACUCAAUCUGUGAAAAGUAGAAUUAUUGCAAAACAAGAGAGUUGAUCUAUGAAUCUUGAAGAUAGUCAAUCCAUGCUUUCAACAGCAAAAGGCAAUUAAGUUAAAGCUCUGCCGCCAUGAUAUUGUUCUCAACAGGAACACAAUUUAACUGAAGCAAAUGUGUCUUGUUUGGAGAUAGCCAACACCUUCUAAGGAUUUGAUGCAUUUUAUCUUCACCAUCAUUCAUAUCUUUUUUUUUAAUGACCUGCUUUCAAACUUUUACUAAUCCUGACAUUUCUGAGUGGGUCAUCUGCCCAUCAAUUGAAGGGAAAUCAUUUCUGAACAAAAUAAAUCAAAAGUAAGAGACACUUACCACCUCCAGAAUGCUCCUGGAGCUCACCAGUUCAAUUACCAUUUCAAAUACUCAGUUUAUCCCUCCUAAGCAGGAAUAUGGGUCAUUUUAAGACUUUUGGUAGCUUCUGACACAUGCCGGACAGAACAUUUUUAUCUUCAUUUUUUUUCAGUUCCAGAUUUAAAAUUAAUUCUAUAUGUUCUUCUCAAAAUGUAUUUAUAAUAAGUUAUUACAUGCAGCAUUUUUGACAAUAAUUUGAGACCUGCCUCAAAUUAGGAUGUUUUCAAAACCCUAAACAAGAACAAACUUCCGUGAUGCUCUCUAUAGACAGUAGCUGGGAUGUUUGUGAAAUCACUGAAAUAAUACUGAAGCUGAGUAUCAUUUAUCUUGUCUAUCACGUGCUGGAAUAUUUGGAGUAAAGACAAUCAAAUGAGUGUCAAUAUUAACGCUAAUGAAUGAAAAUGGAAGAGAGAAAGAGUGAGAGAAUCCAGAAACACUCUCUCCCCUACAUACCUGGUAGAAAACAAGUCAAAACAUGUGAUGAUUUAUAGACAGCUACAAGAACAUCAACAUUGUAAAUAUUUACUUGAUACCAAGCCCAAUGUGCUAUUUAGCCAAUAACUAUUCCAAGUUGUUAGUAAGUUCUCCUUUCACUUCUUUAUUCUUGUCUAUUUUUUUUCUUUCUUUGGAACUUCUGUUUUUUUAAUACCUAGAUUUCUUUGCAUUUAUUUCUAUUUUCCUUUAUCCCCUGUUCUUUGUUACAUGAAAGUAUUCUCAGCACAAUCAAGAGUCUAUAGAAAUGUAAGGUUGUUGUAUUAUUGCUUCUUGUCAUCUUUCUUACUCAUGUCAAGACAAGUGAAAGGUCUUUAUAUUCUCACUAUUGUUACUAUAACUUGUUCCUCCCGGUUUUGUCUCACCUGGACUUCCACAGGUUUUUUAGAAUAUAACGUAUAAAUAUCAAUUUAUAAGGGCAGAGUUGAAGAUCUUUCCACUUUUUAAAUCUGGAAGCCAGCAACAUUCUUUGAACACCAUCUGCAAGCAUAAUAAUUGCACUGAAACUACAGGGGAAAUUCCAAGGACAUGAAAGAUGUUUCUUGACCUGAGUAAGCUUCAUGCCCAGUUAGAGUGACAAGCCAUACAAUGAGCACCUAAAGGGGACCUCUGUAAGAUGUACAGAUAACUAGAGUUCACACAGAGGGACAAUUCAAGUCAGCCAGGUUGAGCUCAUCAUGUAAAGUUUUCCAAAAACAAAUUUUAAAAAGGAAAAGAGUGAUGAGAAGUAAAAAGGAAUAAGAACAUUCUACCUGACCUGUUUCUGUUAGUAAAUAAUUUCUGUAAUCUUCUGCAGGCCCCUAGGGACUAUAAGCUCUCUGAUACCUUUUUUUUAUUAUUUUUGUUUUGAAUAUAUUAUCAAAAGCUCCCUUGGAACUUAAGAAAGCUCUAAUAUAUCUUAUUUUAUGCAUUUUUUUAACUUCCGCGAUCUGCAUAUUGCUUUUGUAUAAUCACAGCUUGAUUCUCUAGUUCUAUCAGGGUUUUGUUUUUUUUUAGGUCCUUUUAGGUAUAUUUUUAGAAUGACAUGUGAAAGGCAACUUUUUUUUUUUUUUUUGAAAAGCCAUUCUGCUACAUCUGCUGUUUGAGACAGCACUUGAGACUUUAUUUCAUCCCUCCCUGAUGCUCUAUGUUGUCCUUCAGGCAGUUUUAUUCUCUCUGCAAAAAGGAUCAGGUUACAAAACAGCCUUCUCUACACUGAAGUGGGGGAAGCCAAAGCCAAAUGAUCUAAAUAUAGUCAGAAUCUGUUGGACAGUUGAUCAAUAAGCACCAAGCCGGGAAUGUAAUUGUUUCUACCAUCUUUUCCCAACACUCUGCAUUUUCUUUUUCAAUUUUAUUUGACACCAAAGUUGAUAAAGUGGCUCUUCCUUGAAAAUGAAAAUGCAUCAUGGUAAAAAAAAAGUGGGGGGGGCAAGAUAUUUUAAACAAGAAGCCAGACUCCCAAUACCAGAAAAGCUUCUAUUUGUUGCUUUCUUAAUGACAGACACAGGUUGAAGACCAGGCUAUAAACAAAAGAGCUCCUAUAAACUGAGCCUCCCCACACAAACGCAUCAAAUGCUUCACCCACCUGCUUAUGGGACACAUACAUUUUGUUCCAAAAUAAGAGUAUAGUGCCAAAUUCAAAUAUCCAGAUGCAAUUAAUAUGUACUAUAUUUGCAUAAAAGUGAGUUUGCCCAUUCCUGAAAAUUAGAAUUUCUUGGGAGGAGGCUGUUGAUAAAUUGAAGAAGAAAUAAAAGAGAGGAAAAGCACUGUAAGAGAGUAUAGCAAGGGGAGACUUGGGUGGCCAAAGAACAACUUGAGGGGUAAAUAAUAUUUCACAAGUAAUAGUUUCACAUUAUUUCCAAAGGCCAAUCACAGCAAGGGCCAUGAAGAAGGCAUCAGCAUCUGUUAGCCCUCUGUCAAUCAGGGCUCUCACCACCAUUUUUUCACCUUUAGGCACCAUGAACAAUUUGCCUACUUGCUUCCAACCAAGCAAAUUUAAUAAAGCCCAUAGUUCAUCCAUGUGACUUCAAGUUUUAAGAAAAUAACCUUAGGAUGAAGCUUUUGUUUCACAAGUUAUCUUUUCUUCACGCAGCCCUGUCUUCUAGAUGGAGAAUGAAGAGCUCCCAAUGGAAGAAAGCAUAUCCAUGUACAUUUUUCUCCAUUGUGAGACGUCAAGCCGAGUGCUCUGUAUGUAAUACAGCCAUGGGUGUUUGCACAUUGUAAGCCAGUGUCAUAUUUGUCUUGUGCUUUUCAUCAUACAUUUGAUUUAGCAGGCAAAUUUUCAAGGCUCAGCGCUGAUGGAUGUACCCUGGAGCCAACUUCAAAGCCAGACCUUAGAUUUAUGGAAAUAAAUAAGCAUAGUACUUCAAUUACAAGUUCCUACUUUGAAUUCCAAUGUGCACAUAAAAAUGUUCAUCCUAAAAAUCCUGCCCUUGAUUUUUGACCCAGGAAGUCUCUUGAUUUUGCUCUUAGCACCAUUCUCAUCUCACCGUGCCAUUUUAACUCAGUCUGCUUUCACAAAUACAGUAUAAAAAUUGAGUUCCACCAUGUCCUAUAAUAUAUGUCUCUUUUUGCUAAUUGGCAAGCGAUUUUUGCAAAUUGGUGAGAGAUUUUUAAAAAGUCACCCUGACUAACUCUGGCCAAGCUGGGUAGCAGCUGGAAAGCCCACAGAGCCAACCCAAUUUGCAUCAUCUUAUCAAAGCUUUCAAAGUUUGGAUGCCAGUCAGCUGGUACCAUAGUGAAUUAGAGCAGUUCCCUACUUUGCCUAUAGUCUGAGACCCCAUGGCAAGUUCUCAAAGGGGACUGAACAGGGGCAGGUAAACAAGUAGUCAGCUGUACAAGAGCCUGCUACUGCAAAGCAUACAGAAAAUGACAGAGAUGCAGACCUGAAAGAACCAGAACAUGUAUCCACACACAUGCAUGUGUAUACACAUACAUACACACAAACAUGAAGUCACACGUGCACAUAUGUGCAUGUAUACUCCUGUACACACAUGACACAGUGGGAAAAUAGUUGUGACAUACUAAAGGGAAUGAAAAUUUCAAAAUUACUGUAAAUAUACUUUCAAGACUCCAAGGUUUGGAAGAGGGUAUUCCACAAGUGAUUCCUCUACCUUAAACAAUUAGGACAAAAAAAAACAAGGGGCAGGGGUGGUGAAUCCCUGAAAAUACAGAGCAUACCACCAGCAGAGAAUAAAAGACACUAAUGCUGCCAAAGAUUAGUACACAGAAUUCAGAUUUAAUAGUAAAAAACAGAGGGGGGUGGGGAACAAAAGAGAAAAAAGAGACCAAAAAGGAGAAGAAAAGAGAAGCCAAAGUUUCAAAGAGAGCUAAGUACAAAGGUUUAAGCUGAAAUGACACUGCAGGAAUAAAGGAGGCUUGUAACUGAAUUACUAUGAAAUAACGUUGGGCCCAAAAUGAGUGAUGGAACAUUUUUAAAUGUAGGAACUAAAAAAUCAGGAUGAGACAUUCUUUAAGUAAAUUAUAAUUCAAAUGGGAUAAAAAUACAGUUUAACAUUAGGUAAAUCAUAAUUCAAAUAGGACAAUAUAGUUUAACAUUUGGGGGAUUUAUAAAAAUAUGCAGUCGAUUUGACAAUUUUGAAAAAUACAACAAUAAAAAAGAAUAAGGAAGGAAGAGAAACAUCCUAUUAAUGAAAGAGAAUCUCUGUUAUCAUACAUUCUUCUGGUCACAUCUAUGCAAAUUGUGAUUACACUGUCUAUGCUGUGACUUUGUCAGCAUCACAACUUGUCAUAAUUUUUCAUGAUGUUAAAUGAUCUCCAAAACUAUAAUUUUUAGACAGUUUGAUGCCUAAUUUUUAUAUUAUGAACAAAAGUGCAUGAAUACCUUCAUACAUAAUUUUAAUUACUUUCUUUUUCUAAUUACAUAGUAAUUGCUUCCUUAGAAUAUACUCUUUUUUUAUAUUUGAGAAGAAAAUAAAGGGUAAAAGCUGGUCCUCUGGAUUCAUUAAAGCUUUUCUUUAUAUUCUUUUUAGUUACAUACAAUACCAGGAUACACCCUGACAUCAUCACAAAAGCAUGGAACACAAUCCACUCCAAUUCAGUCCCCAGCACUUCCCCGCUGCCCCCUAGUCCCCUCCCUCCACUCCACCCAUCCUUCUUCUAUGCACUUGAAGGAUUCGAAAGUGCAAAAUAACUUUUUAAAAAUUUUGUACCAUUUUUUUGCCACUUACAAUAUAUAAAAUUUUGUUUCACCACACACUAGGCACCAUGAGCAUUUAGGAGAAAAAAAAGUCUUUUGUUUGAUUAGUGGGGGUCAGAGGCACCUUUAAUCUAAAUCCAAUUUGCUAUUCAAUACAUACAUUCAACUCCUGAAUAUGCACAGAAGUUCUUAUACUUUUUAUAACCAUGAACUGCUUUGAGAGUAAUGUGAAACCUUUGAGAGUAAUGUGAACUUCUUUCUGUAAACAUGUUCACAUACAGUGAGAGAAAUUCCCUGGAGCUCCAUCAUAGAACAAUCUCUAACUGACUUCCAAACAUCCGACCCAGGUGGGACAUCUGAGCCAUUUAUAAUCUGGGAUGUCAAUAAUUAGUUCAAGCACAUAGAAACAUGCAUGGUUUGGUGGGAAAGGAUUCAGCUUGAGCCAUGAGGCUUGCUUUCCAGCUUUAGCUGGAAACAUGUUUAGAUCCUUGUCACAGGCUGGGCCUCUAGGUUCCCUUCCAUCUGCAAAUCCCUGGAGUUCCAAGAUAAUGUCACCCUUCCUUGGCAUGUUGUAGACGUCUGUUCUAUGGAAAGUUCAUGGUUAUUUUCUCUUUCUAGGUUCCUUGUUUUCAGGAGUAGAUGGGACUAUCUUCAACUCUAUUUGAUAUUUUCUCCAGAAUACCCAUUAAUGUCAAUACCAUUGACUGCAUACAUCUCUUGUCUUCCAUGACAAAUUGGGAACUUCUUGGGGGCAUAAAGUGUGUCUAACUCAACUGUGCCUAAUUUAUUCAACAUAUUCACCAGUAAAUAUCUAUUACAAUGAACUGAGAAAAUUCUAAACAAAAUAGAAAUAUGUUUAGGAUUUUGUUCCAAACAAAAGAGAAUAGUGUCUACAAUAUCAAAUAAAAGGAGUUCAGUUUUGCUUGGAUUGAUUAUAAUUCUUCGAAGUGUCUAAACAUGCAUAUGUAUUGACCAUCUUUUCAGCUUAAAUAAAAAUGUUUACUCAGUUGAUUUCUCUUAUUCACAAUAGUUAUUGUGCUGCUAUGAAGUUGCUGAAAAUACUGAAUUAGCAAAUACUAGGCAUUACUCCUAGGAGAAAACAAGGUAAGCCUCUGGUCACAACAUAGCCAUCAACCAAUCCUUAAAUAACCCUGUUGUAUGUGUUUCUGUGUACAUGCAUCUUAUCUAAUAUAUAUUGUUAGUUCUUACCACUGAAUGCACGCUGUCAACACCUCUACAAUUCAGUCCUGAAAGAAGUAUAUGUAACUCACAUGUGUCUUCUUCAAGGCACCUUUAUGCUGUCUUUCACUUAGGAAUGCUAGUCAAUGCUUGAGCACUAUGUUUCGAAACCAUUUCACACAGGGGUAUCACCAGCGAAAAGUGCAAAAACUCAAAAACACAGCACGAACCAUACCAUGAAAAAGAUACUUGCUUACAGUCAGAACUGAAACAAGAAGGCUAAGCAUCACCUUUUCUAGCCUCAGCU
Molecule: long non-coding RNA, 18307 nt
Filed under: Marmota monax (woodchuck)
Lineage: Eukaryota; Metazoa; Chordata; Mammalia; Rodentia; Sciuridae
Rfam family: Prostate androgen-regulated transcript 1 conserved region 2 (bases 127-366)
Source: RNAcentral